Grammomys surdaster is the source of this 625-nucleotide long non-coding RNA. RefSeq lists it as uncharacterized. NCBI's taxonomy places the organism in Eukaryota, Metazoa, Chordata, Mammalia, Rodentia, Muridae. The record is from RefSeq and is a predicted model, not a curated record. The transcript is spliced from 3 exons.
UAUGUUUAGGCAUAUUCAUUGGGAUAUCUUGCUUUACUAUUUACUUAUUUGCUUUUGUUUCCUUAGACUGAUUUUCAAAGCAAGAAUUACAGUGAAAGAACAUGGUGUAUAAAGUGACUAUUGAUGGCCACUGUCAAGUUUAUUUGCAAAUAAUUUCCUCCAAGCUAUGGUUUCCUUCUCCAUCCCAUAAUAUCGGUGUGUCCGUUCCAUCUCUCCUCUAAUUACUGGAACCACUUUCAUCUUCACUGACUUGAAGACAGCUAAUGACAGCCCGUUCUCUCAUGCCCUCCCAUUAUUUUUUCCAAAUGAGCUUCCUUCAGAAUCACUGGACUGAAUAAGAAGGCGGGUGGCAGUGAAAGAAAGAAAAACCCUACUCUUACCUUGCCUAGAAUGAAACCAUAGCUGUCCUUCCCUUAGGAGAAGAUUGAGGCCUUAAAGCAGGUUUUUUUUCUGUCCUAUCUUCUUCGGUUCCUACCAAAUGGAAGCAAUUCCAUCCCAGGGUUUUGUGCCUGCCACACUCUUCUGUUUCCAUCUUGUGGACUUGCAUUCUCAACUGACUCUCUCAGAAAAGGCGAGGGGGACAAACUAUCUGAAUUCUUCCAUGGUCAAGAAAGUAUCCUGUUCU